RNAcentral lists this ribosomal RNA (496 nucleotides) under uncultured bacterium. RNAcentral describes it as "partial 16S ribosomal RNA". It matches the Rfam family "Bacterial small subunit ribosomal RNA", at positions 29 to 507 of the family's 1533-position model. The record is from RNAcentral.
ACGAACGCUGGCGGCGUGCCUAAUACAUGCAAGUAGAACGCUGAAGGAAGGAGCUUGCUCUUUCUGGAUGAGUUGCGAACGGGUGAGUAACGCGUAGGUAACCUGCCUGGUAGCGGGGGAUAACUAUUGGAAACGAUAGCUAAUACCGCAUAAAAUUGAUUAUUGCAUGAUAGUCAAUUAAAAGGUGCAACUGCACCACUACCAGAUGGACCUGCGUUGUAUUAGCUAGUUGGUGGGGUAACGGCUCACCAAGGCGACGAUACAUAGCCGACCUGAGAGGGUGAUCGGCCACACUGGGACUGAGACACGGCCCAGACUCCUACGGGAGGCAGCAGUAGGGAAUCUUCGGCAAUGGACGGAAGUCUGACCGAGCAACGCCGCGUGAGUGAAGAAGGUUUUCGGAUCGUAAAGCUCUGUUGUAAGAGAAGAACGAGUGUGAGAGUGGAAAGUUCACACUGUGACGGUAUCUGACCAGAAAGGGACGGCUAACUACGUG